Molecule: ribosomal RNA, 334 nt
Filed under: uncultured bacterium
Lineage: Bacteria
Description: bacterial SSU rRNA
Rfam family: Bacterial small subunit ribosomal RNA
Source: RNAcentral
ACUCCUACGGGAGGCAGCAGUGGGGAAUAUUGCACAAUGGGCGCAAGCCUGAUGCAGCCAUGCCGCGUGUAUGAAGAAGGCCUUCGGUUGUAAGUANCUUUCAGCAGUGAGGAAGGUGGGUAUGUUAAUAGCAUACUCAUUUGACGUUAGCUGCAGAAGAAGCACCGGCUAACUCCGUGCCAGCAGCCGCGGUAAUACGGAGGGUGCGAGCGUUAAUCGGAAUUACUGGGCGUAAAGCGCAUGCAGGUGGUUUGUUAAGUCAGAUGUGAAAGCCCGGGGCUCAACCUCGGAAUUGCAUUUGAAACUGGCAAACUAGAGUACUGUAGAGGGGUGG